CCUACGGGAGACAGCAGUGAGGAAUAUUGGUCAAUGGACGAGAGUCUGAACCAGCCAAGCAGCGUGAAGGAUGACUGCCCCAUGGGUUGUAAACUUCUUUUAUAUGGGAAUAAAAUGUUCCACGUGUGGGUUUUUGUAUGUACCAUAUGAAUAAGGAUCGGCUAACUCCGUGCCAGCAGCCGCGGUAAUACGGAGGAUCCGAGCGUUAUCCGGAUUUAUUGGGUUUAAAGGGAGCGUAGGUGGAUUGUUAAGUCAGUUGUGAAAGUUUGCGGCUCAACCGUAACAUUGCAGUUGAAACUGGCAGUCUUGAGUACAGUAGAGGUGGGCGGAAUGCGUGGUGUAGCGGUGAAAUGCUUAGAUAUCGCGAAGAACUCCGAUUGCGAAGGCAGCUCACUGGACGGCAACUGACACUGAGGCUCGAAAGUGUGGGUAUCAAACAGGAUUAGAUACCCUAGUAGUC
Molecule: ribosomal RNA, 460 nt
Filed under: uncultured bacterium
Lineage: Bacteria
Description: partial 16S ribosomal RNA
Rfam family: Bacterial small subunit ribosomal RNA
Source: RNAcentral